Molecule: long non-coding RNA, 966 nt
Organism: Macrobrachium nipponense
Lineage: Eukaryota; Metazoa; Arthropoda; Malacostraca; Decapoda; Palaemonidae
Exons: 3
Source: RefSeq, a predicted model, not a curated record
GUUACGGUGAAUUUUAUCAUUAUUUGUCUAGUGGUGGUAAAGAAGUUGUGACUGAAUAUGCUCAAAGGCAUAAUUUAAUUCUAAAGCCAAAAAACUACGAGUUGUGGAGGAGCUAUUUGUCGGAUCGACUACAACAGGAACGCCUUUAGAUGUGAUUGCUCUGUAGGGAUGAAAGGACGUCGGCGUAAGCGAUGCGACACCCAAAUCCAUCCACCACGAUCAGAGACUUAUGAUGAAUGCGUUGGAAGAGGGCGAACUCGGGACUUGAAGAAUGCAAACCAGAAAGCUGGAACAACAAUCAGCGAUAAUCUGAGCUGAGUAGUACGUGCUAUUUGCUGGUCUUCAGAGGUGGCGAGGAAAAAGAUUGAUGAGCAGAUUAGUUUGAAAACUUGUUGCUGUAAAAAUGAAGUUAAGUGGCACAUAAAUGAUUCAUUCUGCUGCCCAAGAGAGCUCGAGAGUCGACGCCCCCCAAGAGCUCGAGAGUUGAAUUGCACUAUAUAUUUUUCCACCAUAUGACGUGGGAUUAAAUAUUAUUCCGUCGGAAUAAGGCGCUUGAGACAAUUCCUCACCCAUAUAUAUUUUUUAAGCAAUAUGCUGCCAAGUUAUUUUGUAUCACUAACGCUACUACUGAAACAUUUGUCAGUUUCCCAAACUUUCAGAUGAAGGGUGACUUUCCUGCUGCAAGAUGGAGUAGCAGUUUAUGUACCGUGCGUUUGUAAAUGUCACCAUCUCAAGACCCAGCCUUGAGGUUGUGACAUUUCUAAAAACGCACGGUAGAUAUAUACUUGUGCAACUCCAUCGUGCAGCAGAAAAGUCACCCAGUACCUGAAGGUGGGAUAAUAAAACACCAACGUUUCUCAAAUAGUGCCAUUGACAAGAGUGAUACAAAAUUACCUCUGACAAUUGCAUAAUGAUUUAUAUUUAUUGAUGAAGAAUUAAGAGAUAAUUUGUGUAUGUUAUACUAAA